GUGCACCAGGUUAUGCGCUUUUUGGACCAAUAUUGUUUUGAAUGGAGGCCAUGGUGCUGUCAUAGGCCGCAAUGGCGUGUUUAUUGGGGUUUUCUGCCAUAUUCCACACAACACUGUUUUGAAUAAAUAGGUUCUAUCUUUAUAGAACAGAGAUGUUACCUUUACGAACCGAACUGUAUCUUGACUAACCGAGAUGCCCCCAUAGGCUUGGUUUGUGUGUGUAGUACGCGGUAACAAUUUCCAGAUUUCAAUUUGAGUAUUAUGUUUUUCCAGAAUUGUGGGCAUACAGGAGUAAAGAGCAACAUCGGCAAAUUUAUUGGAUAGCCGUCAACUUAUUCUAGUCACUUAGUUGUUUGCUUCAUUAUGUGAAUACUUGUUCUCAAUUUAAAGCACUUAUGAAAGUUUAAAGUUUCUCUUUCAAAUCAUCAAAUACUGAG
RNAcentral lists this long non-coding RNA (437 nucleotides) under Medicago truncatula (barrel medic). RNAcentral's name for it is "lncRNA gene32055". Lineage: Eukaryota; Viridiplantae; Streptophyta; Magnoliopsida; Fabales; Fabaceae. The record is from RNAcentral.